Molecule: long non-coding RNA, 228 nt
Filed under: Musa acuminata (dwarf banana)
Lineage: Eukaryota; Viridiplantae; Streptophyta; Magnoliopsida; Zingiberales; Musaceae
Description: long non-coding RNA (MACU_LNC011102)
Source: RNAcentral
AAAUUCGUAUUUUCGUACAUUACAAUUUACGUUUACGUUUGAUUCUGCAGAACUGUCUUCCGUGCUUUUACGAAUGAGUUUCUUUGCAGUUUACACUUACAUUUUGAUCCUAUUGAUAACUGCAAACUGUCCUCUACAAUUUUACGAACGAGUUUCAACAUUUAGACGUAAAACUGUAUUUAGACGUAAAUCGGCUUUCCUCGCACAAUCAUCAGAUCUCAGUUCACG